Molecule: long non-coding RNA, 290 nt
Filed under: Capsicum annuum
Lineage: Eukaryota; Viridiplantae; Streptophyta; Magnoliopsida; Solanales; Solanaceae
Description: long non-coding RNA (CANN_LNC013192)
Source: RNAcentral
UACUCUUUGUUUGGAGACAACAAAACUUGGAAUUUUGCAAAACUCUGAAAAAGCACCUAAACGCCUAUUACAAUCUGAAAUAGAAACCUGAAGCAUUUCCACCAUUUUACUUAUUGUAAACUGGUUGCACUUGCAUUACAUACCAAUACCAUCUAAGAAGGUCAGCUCAACAGGAAAAUAACCGGUUUAGGAAAGAGGUAUAUGUAACUGUAAAAAUUUUGUAAUACAUAGAAUUCAAUCUAAAAUAGGUUGCAAUGCAUGUUAAACACACCAACAUCAAUGUUCAUCUG